GAUGAAGAACGCAGCGAAAUGCGAUAAGUAAUGUGAAUUGCAGAAUUCAGUGAAUCAUCGAAUCUUUGAACGCACAUUGCGCCCGCCAGCAUUCUGGCGGGCAUGCCUGUUCGAGCGUCAUUUCAACCCUCGACUUCCCUUUGGGGAAGUCGGCGUUGGGGACCGGCCGUAUACCGCCGGCCCCGAAAUGAAGUGGCGGCCCGUCCGCGGCGACCUCUGCGUAGUAAUCCAACUCGCACCGGAACCCCGACGUGGCCACGCCGUAAAACCCCCGACUUCUGAACGUUGACCUCGGAUCAGGUAGGAAUACCCGCUGAACUUAAGCAUAUCAAUAAGCGGAGGA
Molecule: unclassified non-coding RNA, 343 nt
Filed under: soil metagenome
Description: partial contains 5.8S ribosomal RNA, internal transcribed spacer 2, and large subunit ribosomal RNA
Rfam family: 5.8S ribosomal RNA (bases 1-120)
Source: RNAcentral